GACGAACGCUGGCGGCGUGCUUAACACAUGCAAGUCGAACGGAAAGGCCCUGCUUGCAGGGUCCUCGAGUGGCGAACGGGUGAGUAACACGUGGGUGAUCUGCCCUGCACUUCGGGAUAAGCCUGGGAAACUGGGUCUAAUACCGGAUAGGAGCCAUUUUUAGUGUGAUGGUUGGAAAGUUUUUUCGGUGUAGGAUGAGCUCGCGGCCUAUCAGCUUGUUGGUGGGGUAAUGGCCUACCAAGGCGGCGACGGGUAGCCGGCCUGAGAGGGUGGACGGCCACAGUGGGACUGAGAUACGGCCCAGACGCCUACGGGAGGCAGCAGUGGGGAAUAUUGCACAAUGGGCGCAAGCCUGAUGCAGCGACGCCGCGUGGGGGAUGACGGCCUUCGGGUUGUAAACUCCUUUCGCUAGGGACGAAGCUUUUUGUGACGGUACCUAGAUAAGAAGCACCGGCUAACUACGUG
RNAcentral lists this ribosomal RNA (465 nucleotides) under uncultured bacterium. RNAcentral's name for it is "partial 16S ribosomal RNA". It matches the Rfam family "Bacterial small subunit ribosomal RNA", at positions 28 to 507 of the family's 1533-position model. The record is from RNAcentral.